GCUAGCGUAGCUUAACUAAAGCACAACACUGAAGAUGUUGGGAUGGGCCCUAGAAAGCCCCGCAAGCA
This 68-nucleotide transfer RNA is filed under the name Pristicon trimaculatus (three-spot cardinalfish). RNAcentral's name for it is "tRNA-Phe". RNAcentral also lists the same sequence under 1 other name. The record is from RNAcentral. Lineage: Eukaryota; Metazoa; Chordata; Actinopteri; Kurtiformes; Apogonidae.